This is a long non-coding RNA of Triticum dicoccoides, 361 nucleotides long. RefSeq lists it as uncharacterized. The record is from RefSeq and is a predicted model, not a curated record. Lineage: Eukaryota; Viridiplantae; Streptophyta; Magnoliopsida; Poales; Poaceae. The transcript is spliced from 3 exons.
AAGCCACGGCCGCCGGACCUCCACGCCUCCGCGAGCCCGCCGCCGGCCUGUGACCUCUACGCUGCCUCCAGUCCUCUCCGGACUCCUCCAUCGUAUUCUUCUCAUUCUCCGACGCUGCCAAGUUCGCCCGAGGAAGAAGCGUCGAGUUCGCCGGAGGAACAAGAACAUCCGUCCAGCCGUCCAUUGUCGCCUGAGCUACACCAGAGGUGCCAAAGGUGUCCGAUCGAACUAAGGUGGAGGCCAAGGAGGUUUAGCUCUCGGACAUUGCACCAAUGACGCUGGAUAAUACCGACAUGCAUACUGAAUUCGUCCAAGGACCGUCGGAAGAUCAGAAUUGCGGCUAAUGUCCCUUAAGAGGUGU